RNAcentral lists this ribosomal RNA (460 nucleotides) under uncultured bacterium. RNAcentral describes it as "partial 16S ribosomal RNA". It matches the Rfam family "Bacterial small subunit ribosomal RNA", at positions 338 to 795 of the family's 1533-position model. The record is from RNAcentral.
CCUACGGGAGGCAGCAGUGAGGAAUAUUGGUCAAUGGCCGGAAGGCUGAACCAGCCAUGCCGCGUGAAGGUCAGUGCCCUAUGGGCGUUAAACUUCUUUUGUGCGGGAGCAAUAAUGGUCACGUGUGGCUCGACGAGAGUACCGUACGAAUAAGCAUCCGCUAACCACGUGCCAGCAGCCGCGGUUAUACGGGGGAUGCAAGCGUUAUCCGGAUUUAUUGGGUUUAAAGGGUGCGUAGGCUGGAAGGUAAGUCAGGGGUGAAAUGCCCCCGGUCAACGGGGUGAAGUGCCAUUGAUACUGCCGUGCUGGAAUGCAGAUGCGGUGGGAGGAAUGUGUGGUGUAGCGGUGAAAUGCAUAGAUAUCACACAGAACACCGAUUGCGAAGGCAUCUCACGAAUCCGCGAUUGACGCUGAUGCACGAAAGCGUGGGUAGCAAACAGGAUUAGAUACCCCUGUAGUC